RNAcentral lists this non-coding RNA (21 nucleotides) under Caenorhabditis elegans. Lineage: Eukaryota; Metazoa; Nematoda; Chromadorea; Rhabditida; Rhabditidae. The record is from RNAcentral.
UGAAACUGGUGCUUCUUAUUC